AAGAGGUGGUUUCCGUUUAAAAGUUGGAUUACAGUUUGUUCGGGUGAGGCAAUAUCAGAUGAUAGGGUGCGAUAGACCAACGUGCAAUUGACGGGGGGUUUAAUACCAGGGCGAUCUAUAUCCAAUAUCCAUCGGCAUCUACAGUGAUUGGAUUUGGAAGAACUAGCUAAUGGAGAAGAUGUGGCAAAGUGCCCAAGUUGUUCUCUCUUGAUUAAAGUAAUUUAUGACAUUGAUGAUUUUCUAGAAGGGGAAGAAGUUGCAGCUCCCGUUAAAGUGGAGUUGGAGAAGGCU
Molecule: long non-coding RNA, 291 nt
Organism: Magallana angulata
Lineage: Eukaryota; Metazoa; Mollusca; Bivalvia; Ostreida; Ostreidae
Exons: 4
Source: RefSeq, a predicted model, not a curated record